UACGUAGGGCGCAAGCGUUAUCCGGAAUUAUUGGGCGUAAAGAGCUCGUAGGCGGUUUGUCGCGUCUGCCGUGAAAGUCCGGGGCUCAACUCCGGAUCUGCGGUGGGUACGGGCAGACUAGAGUGAUGUAGGGGAGACUGGAAUUCCUGGUGUAGCGGUGAAAUGCGCAGAUAUCAGGAGGAACACCGAUGGCGAAGGCAGGUCUCUGGGCAUUAACUGACGCUGAGGCGCGGCAGCGUGGGGAGCAAACAGG
This 253-nucleotide ribosomal RNA is filed under the name uncultured bacterium. Its description in RNAcentral is "partial 16S ribosomal RNA". It matches the Rfam family "Bacterial small subunit ribosomal RNA", at positions 524 to 776 of the family's 1533-position model. The record is from RNAcentral.